UGGGGAAUAUUGCACAAUGGGCGCAAGCCUGAUGCAGCGACGUCGCGUGGAGGAUGAAGGUUUUCGGAUUGUAAACUCCUGUUAAACGGGAAGAAAGAGUCACUGUUAAUAGCAGUGGUUGAUGACGUUACCGUUAAAGAAAGCACCGGCUAACUUCGUGCCAGCAGCCGCGGUAAUACGAAGGGUGCGAGCGUUAUUCGGAAUAACUGGGCGUAAAGGGCGCGUAGGCGGUAUUCUAAGUCGACGGUUAAAGAUCAUAGCUUAACUGUGAAAAGGCCGGCGAUACUGGAGUGCUAGAGGAUAGCAGAGAGGAGUGGAAUUCUCGGAGUAGCGGUAAAAUGCGUAGAUCUCGAGAGGAACACCGAUGGCGAAGGCAGCUCCUUGGGCUAUAACUGACGCU
This 400-nucleotide ribosomal RNA is filed under the name uncultured bacterium. RNAcentral's name for it is "bacterial SSU rRNA". It matches the Rfam family "Bacterial small subunit ribosomal RNA", at positions 355 to 747 of the family's 1533-position model. The record is from RNAcentral.